Molecule: ribosomal RNA, 467 nt
Filed under: uncultured bacterium
Lineage: Bacteria
Description: partial 16S ribosomal RNA
Rfam family: Bacterial small subunit ribosomal RNA
Source: RNAcentral
GACGAACGCUGGCGGCGUGCUUAACACAUGCAAGUCGAACGGAAAGGCCCUGCUUUUGUGGGGUGCUCGAGUGGCGAACGGGUGAGUAACACGUGAGUAACCUGCCCUUGACUUUGGGAUAACUUCAGGAAACUGGGGCUAAUACCGGAUAGGAGCUCCUGCUGCAUGGUGGGGGUUGGAAAGUUUCGGCGGUUGGGGAUGGACUCGCGGCUUAUCAGCUUGUUGGUGGGGUAGUGGCUUACCAAGGCUUUGACGGGUAGCCGGCCUGAGAGGGUGACCGGCCACAUGGGGACUGAGAUACGGCCCAGACUCCUACGGGAGGCAGCAGUGGGGAAUAUUGCACAAUGGGCGGAAGCCUGAUGCAGCAACGCCGCGUGCGGGAUGACGGCCUUCGGGUGUAAACCGCUUUCGCCUGUGACGAAGCGUGAGUGACGGUAAUGGGUAAAGAAGCACCGGCUAACUACGUG